RNAcentral lists this ribosomal RNA (544 nucleotides) under uncultured Glomeromycotina. RNAcentral describes it as "SSU rRNA". It matches the Rfam family "Eukaryotic small subunit ribosomal RNA", at positions 548 to 1098 of the family's 1831-position model. Lineage: Eukaryota; Fungi; Glomeromycota. The record is from RNAcentral.
UUGGAGGGCAAGUCUGGUGCCAGCAGCCGCGGUAAUUCCAGCUCCAAUAGCGUAUAUUAAAGUUGUUGCAGUUAAAAAGCUCGUAGUUGAAUUUCGGGGUUCUACCGUUGGUCGGGCUUUGUCUGUACUGGUGUGUAGUAUUUCUACCUUCUGGGGAACCAUCAUGCUAUUAAUUUAGCGUGGUGGGAAACCAGGACCUUUACCUUGAAAAAAUUAGUGUGUUCAAAGCAGGCUUAUGUCUGAAUACAUUAGCGUGGAAUAAUAGAAUAGGACGGUGGUCCUGUUUUGUUGGUUUCUGAAUCACCGUAAUGAUUAAUAGGGAUAGUUGGGGGCAUUAGUAUUCAAUUGUCAGAGGUGAAAUUCUUGGAUUUAUUGAAGACUAACUUCUGCGAAAGCAUUUGCCAAGGAUGUUUUCAUUAAUCAAGAACGAAAGUUAGGGGAUCGAAGACGAUCAGAUACCGUCGUAGUCUUAACCAUAAACUAUGCCGACUAGGGAUCGGACGAUGUUAAUUUUUCUUGACUCGUUCGGCGCCUUACGGGAAAC